This 428-nucleotide ribosomal RNA is filed under the name uncultured bacterium. RNAcentral describes it as "partial 16S ribosomal RNA". It matches the Rfam family "Bacterial small subunit ribosomal RNA", at positions 354 to 796 of the family's 1533-position model. The record is from RNAcentral.
GUGGGGAAUAUUGGGCAAUGGGGGAAACCCUGACCCAGCAACGCCGCGUGAGGGAAGAAGGUUUUCGGAUUGUAAACCUCUGUCCUUGGUGACGAAGGAAGUGACGGUAGCCAAGGAGGAAGCCCCGGCUAACUACGUGCCAGCAGCCGCGGUAUUACGCAGGGGGCAAGCGUUGUCCGGAAUGACUGGGCGUAAAGGGCGUGUAGGCGGCCGUUUAAGUCUGGAGUGAAAGUCCUGCAUUCAAGGUGGGGAUUGCUUUGGAGACUGGUUGGCUUGAGUGCGGAAGAGGUAAGUGGAAUUCCUAGUGUAGCGGUGAAAUGCGUAGAGAUUGGGAGGAACACCAGUGGCGAAGGCGAAUUACUGGGCCGUAACUGACGCUGAGGCGCGAAAGCGUGGGGAGCGAACAGGAUUAGAAACCCCUGUAGUCC